AGGACGAACGCUGGCGGCGUGCUUAACACAUGCAAGUCGAACGGUGAAGCCCUUUCGGGGGUGGAUCAGUGGCGAACGGGUGAGUAACACGUGAGCAACCUGCCCUUGACUCUGGGAUAACUUCGGGAAACCGGAGCUAAUACCGGAUAUGACACGCGGAGGCAUCUCCUGUGUGUGGAAAGAUUUAUUGGUCAAGGAUGGGGCUCGCGGCCUAUCAGCUAGUUGGUGGGUAAUGGCCUACCGAAGGCGACGACGGGUA
This 259-nucleotide ribosomal RNA is filed under the name uncultured bacterium. Its description in RNAcentral is "partial small subunit ribosomal RNA". It matches the Rfam family "Bacterial small subunit ribosomal RNA", at positions 26 to 285 of the family's 1533-position model. The record is from RNAcentral.